GAGAACCUUGAUUUCUGGCAAGUCUUGUAAAUGCGGCAAGAUGGUGUCUGCCUGAAUGGACAUUUCUACAUUAUUCUGGAAAGUAUAUUCAACACCUAGUGAGAUUUCAUCACUCUUUAUGAAAUAAGAACACAACCUAAUUUUCAAUUCCACAUUGCAUCACGAAGAAGUACUAAUUGGACAUGGAUGCACAUAUGAUGGAAAUCGCAGGGGCCAGAGACCUGGGCUGGAGCAAAUUGUGGUCUGGAUAUGAUUAACUCUAGAAAAUCUCAACUGUGGUUGCUGUCAUAAUUCCUAAUACCUGUAGUAUAAAAGAACUUUAUAAUAUCUGACUAUUUGGCAACCUCAGUGUUAAAUCUAAAGUUUGAGCAUGAGGUGGACCUAG
Molecule: long non-coding RNA, 385 nt
Organism: Homo sapiens (human)
Lineage: Eukaryota; Metazoa; Chordata; Mammalia; Primates; Hominidae
Exons: 3
Source: RefSeq, a predicted model, not a curated record